Molecule: transfer RNA, 72 nt
Filed under: Phrynosoma platyrhinos (Desert horned lizard)
Lineage: Eukaryota; Metazoa; Chordata; Lepidosauria; Squamata; Phrynosomatidae
Description: tRNA-OTHER
Source: RNAcentral
UCCAGCAUGGUGUAAUGGCUUGAGUGCUGGACUAUGACUCUGGAGACCAGGGUUCAAUUCCCAGUUCAGCCA